This 362-nucleotide transfer-messenger RNA is filed under the name Clostridia. Its description in RNAcentral is "UMGS1663 sp944386125 Standard tmRNA". It matches the Rfam family "transfer-messenger RNA". From Rfam's summary of the family: Bacterial tmRNA, also known as 10Sa RNA or SsrA, is named for its dual tRNA and mRNA-like properties. Its role is to liberate the mRNA from a stalled ribosome. The record is from RNAcentral. Lineage: Bacteria; Bacillati; Bacillota. RNAcentral also lists the same sequence under 1 other name.
GGGGGCGUAAUUGGUUUCGACAGUAUUUUAGAAGUAAUUAUGGCAAGUAGUGGAUGGCUGCUUCGGCCACUUAAAAAAAGCAGAAUUAAAAAUAAACGCUGAUAAUAAUAAAGAAUUAGCAUUUGCUGCUUAAUAAAAGCGGCACGUUUUACUAAAAAUGCCUACGUUUUUAGAUAAAGCGAUGACUUAGUAGGAAACAAAGCUAUUUUUUGCUACGAAAAUAGUGGGUAUUUAAGUAGCUACUGUUAUAUUUUGUUUGUUUAUUCAUGAAGUAUAAUGGGAAAUUUAAGAAUAAACUAAACUUGUAGAAGUAAUUAUGGAAAAAAUAUUGGACAGCAGUUCAACUCUGCUCGCCUCCACCA